RNAcentral lists this long non-coding RNA (350 nucleotides) under Homo sapiens (human). Its description in RNAcentral is "HSALNT0151497". Lineage: Eukaryota; Metazoa; Chordata; Mammalia; Primates; Hominidae. The record is from RNAcentral.
CAGGACUCAACAAAAGAUUCUCAAAGGAAGAAAUGUCCUUAAGGCUCAAGAUGCUAUAUUGUGAAAAACCCCAACCUACACAUGGAGAAGGCCAUAUGAAAGAGAACUAAGCCCCAGCUGAGGUCCCAGGCAAUGGCCAGCACUAUACACAGCAAUGGCCAGCUCUGUGAAUGAGCCCUUUGGGACAUUUUAACCCAAUCAAGCCCCAAAAUUACUGCAGCCACAGCCAAAAUCAUGUGUAGCAGAAGCUUCUUCCAAAUGAGCUCAAUCAACUUGUAGAACUGGGAAAGAUAAUAAAAUGGUUGUUGUUUUAAGCUGUUAAAUUUUAGGGUGGUUUGUUACUAGCAUUA